RNAcentral lists this ribosomal RNA (184 nucleotides) under Olsynium douglasii. RNAcentral's name for it is "5.8S ribosomal RNA". The stretch from base 7 to 162 matches the Rfam family "5.8S ribosomal RNA". From Rfam's summary of the family: 5.8S ribosomal RNA (5.8S rRNA) is a component of the large subunit of the eukaryotic ribosome. It is transcribed by RNA polymerase I as part of the 45S precursor that also contains 18S and 28S rRNA. The record is from RNAcentral. Lineage: Eukaryota; Viridiplantae; Streptophyta; Magnoliopsida; Asparagales; Iridaceae.
CUGUACGACUCUCGGCAACGGAUAUCUAGGCUCUCGCAUCGAUGAAGAACGUAGCGAAAUGCGAUACAUGGUGUGAAUUGCAGAAUCCCGUGAACCAUCGAGUCUUUGAACGCAAGUUGCGCCCGAGGCCAUCCGGUCGAGGGCACGCCUGCCUGGGCGUCACGCGUCGUAUCGCUCCGCAAAC